CGAACGGGUGAGUAACACGUGGGUAACCUGCCCCGAUGAUUGGGACAACCCGAGGAAACUCGGGCUAAUACCAAAUGUGCCCUCCGGCCUCAAGGCCGUUGGGGAAAGGAAGCUUCGGCCUCCGCAUCGGGAUGGGCCCGCGGCCCAUUAGCUUGUUGGUGAGGUAACGGCUCACCAAGGCGACGAUGGGUAGCUGGUCUGAGAGGACGAUCAGCCACACUGGGACUGAGACACGGCCCAG
This 241-nucleotide ribosomal RNA is filed under the name uncultured bacterium. Its description in RNAcentral is "partial 16S ribosomal RNA". It matches the Rfam family "Bacterial small subunit ribosomal RNA", at positions 99 to 334 of the family's 1533-position model. The record is from RNAcentral.